GUCCGGGUGGCGGAAUGGCAGACGCGCUAGCUUGAGGUGCUAGUGCCCUCUAAGGGCGUGGGGGUUCAAGUCCCCCCUCGGACA
Molecule: transfer RNA, 84 nt
Filed under: Protofrankia coriariae
Lineage: Bacteria; Bacillati; Actinomycetota; Actinomycetes; Frankiales; Frankiaceae
Also listed under: 2 other names
Description: Frankia coriariae tRNA-Leu
Rfam family: tRNA
About the family: Transfer RNA (tRNA) molecules are approximately 80 nucleotides in length. Their secondary structure includes four short double-helical elements and three loops (D, anti-codon, and T loops). Further hydrogen bonds mediate the characteristic L-shaped molecular structure. tRNAs have two regions of fundamental functional importance: the anti-codon, which is responsible for specific mRNA codon recognition, and the 3' end, to which the tRNAs corresponding amino acid is attached (by aminoacyl-tRNA synthetases). tRNAs cope with the degeneracy of the genetic code in two manners: having more than one tRNA (with a specific anti-codon) for a particular amino acid; and 'wobble' base-pairing, i.e. permitting non-standard base-pairing at the 3rd anti-codon position.
Source: RNAcentral